RNAcentral lists this long non-coding RNA (1292 nucleotides) under Gallus gallus (chicken). The record is from RNAcentral. Lineage: Eukaryota; Metazoa; Chordata; Aves; Galliformes; Phasianidae.
UGGUAGCAUUGUUUUUAUCGAAGCAACAUUGCCAGCUCUAACUGCUUCAAUUUCAUUUGUUAGGUAAUGCCAGGAAACCACACUCUUCAUGUUUACAUGCGACUCAUGCCAAAGGGCCAAAACGUUCUGAAACUGCUGUUCAAUCCUGUUGGCUGUAUCUAUUGCUUCCUUGUUUGGUGGAGGAACUGUAAAGCAUACAGAUGGAACCAUGGCCUCAUUACCACUUGGGCUAAUGACUUUCCAUUUAGCACGAUGGGAGUUGUUUGCUAACACACACUCAUCAUCCUUGUAAAUUGUUAUCUCAAUUUGUCUAUAGUCACAGAUGGCUUUAAUUGGAAUGGAUGUUUUCAGUAUACAGUCAGGGUUCCUUGGCUUCAGCUGAAUUAUUGCCUUUGCUCUCCCCACAAGGCCUGCUACUGUGCUCUUAUACUGCAAGAGUUGCUCCUUUUCUUCCAUAGACUCCUGGACAAGGUCUUCCAGCCUAUGAAGGCUGCUUGAUCUGUCACAACUGUAUUUUCGGUAUAUGGCAUCUUUCAAAUUCUUUAAAUACUCCAUGGCCUCUUUGGCAUCACUGAAAAACUCAAAAUAUGAAGCAUUUUCUCUCAAAUGUUGUUCAACGCAGUGACAGAGCUGAAGAAUCCAGCUCCACUGUGUCUGCAUUGCAGCUCUGUAGGCCUCAAUGGUUAGCCUGGCUGGGUGAUUUUCAAGAAGCAACUGUUCCGCUAUUUCUUGUACUGAUUUAAUAACUUCUUCUUUUUGAUCAAGUUCUCUCAUUAAUUCUGCAUGGUAUUCCUUUUUUCUUGUUAUAUUGGGGUUUCUUUCACUCCAAUCAUAUGCAACCUCCUCCUCUUCUUUUUCAUUCAGCCAUAUCAGCUCUCUAGUAGCACGAGAGACAAAAUCGUGAAGGGUAUCUAGAUGCCUUUCCUGAUUUCUUGAUGUGUUCAAGAGUUUUGAAUACUGACUUUCCAGUUUGUGCAAUUUUUCCGCAUAACUGAGUUUCAGAGGGGCAGUCAUUUGGAUCUCACUGAUUUUUGCUUCUUUAAGGCUGGAUUCAAAUUCUUCAAUAGCCCUGUGAACAUUUUUGUGAUUUUCUAAAUGGCUUUCAACACUUGGUAAAUCUGAACCCCAUUCCACUCGAUCAAGUUGCACCUGCAUUUCUUCCACCCAGUUCAAUAGGUCCUGGACAAAUUUCAUGUUCACUUCUUCUUCUGUUAAAUUCUGGUCCACAAAAGCUGAUUUCAUAAGAGGUUUUCUGAUUUGCAUAAGUUUGAGUGUUUGCAGAGUUCCACCAU